Molecule: ribosomal RNA, 430 nt
Filed under: Paracorixa wui
Lineage: Eukaryota; Metazoa; Arthropoda; Insecta; Hemiptera; Corixidae
Description: partial large subunit ribosomal RNA
Rfam family: Archaeal large subunit ribosomal RNA
Source: RNAcentral
GGGCUGGGUUUAUUAGGGUCUGACCUGCCCACUGAUUUAUUUAAUGGCCGCGGUAUUUUGACCGUGCAAAGGUAGCAUAAUAAUUUGUCUUUUAAUUGAAGGCUUGUAUGAAUGGUUGGACGAGAAAGCAACUUUCUUUAUAAUAAAAUGAUUAAUUUUAUUUUUUAGUUAAAAAGCUAAAAUGUUGUUGUAGGACGAGAAGACCCUAUAGAACUUUAUAAUUAUUUAUAUAUUAAUAUUUUUAGUUAAUAAUAUAUUGUAUUUUUAUAAUUAUUUUGUUGGGGCGACAAGAAAAUUUAUUUAACUUUUUUUCACCAAUUUCAUUAAUUAAUGUAUAAAUGAUCCUUUAUUAAAGAUAAUUAGAAUAAGUUACCUUAGGGAUAACAGCGUAAUUUUUUUGGAGAGUUCUUAUCGAUAAAAAAGUUUGCGA